Molecule: ribosomal RNA, 409 nt
Filed under: uncultured bacterium
Lineage: Bacteria
Description: bacterial SSU rRNA
Rfam family: Bacterial small subunit ribosomal RNA
Source: RNAcentral
UUGGCAUGGGCGAAAGCCUGAUCAGCCUGCCGCGUGUGUGAAGAAGGUCUUCGGAUUGUAAAGCACUUUAAGUUGGGAGGAAGGGUUGUAGAUUAAUACUCUGCAAUUUUGACGUUACCGACAGAAUAAGCACCGGCUAACUCUGUGCCAGCAGCCGCGGUAAUACAGAGGGUGCAAGCGUUAAUCGGAAUUACUGGGCGUAAAGCGCGCGUAGGUGGUUUGUUAAGUUGGAUGUGAAAUCCCCGGGCUCAACCUGGGAACUGCAUUCAAAACUGACUGACUAGAGUAUGGUAGAGGGUGGUGGAAUUUCCUGUGUAGCGGUGAAAUGCGCAGAUAUAGGAAGGAACACCAGUGGCGAAGGCGACCACCUGGACUAAUACUGACACUGAGGUGCGAAAGCGUGGGGAGC